This 378-nucleotide unclassified non-coding RNA is filed under the name plant metagenome. RNAcentral describes it as "partial contains 5.8S ribosomal RNA, internal transcribed spacer 2, and large subunit ribosomal RNA". The stretch from base 1 to 105 matches the Rfam family "5.8S ribosomal RNA", at positions 50 to 154 of the family's 154-position model. The record is from RNAcentral.
GAAAUGCGAUAAGUAAUGUGAAUUGCAGAAUUCAGUGAAUCAUCGAAUCUUUGAACGCACCUUGCGCUCCUUGGUAUUCCUUGGAGCAUGCCUGUUUGAGUAUCAUGAAAUCUUCAAAGUAAAUCUUUUGUUAACUCAAUUGGUUUCUACUUUGGUAUUGGAGGUCUUUGCAGCUUCACACCUGCUCCUCUUUGUUCAUUAGCUGGAUCUCAGUGUUAUGCUUGGUUCCACUCGGCGUGAUAAGUUAUCUAUCGCUUAGGACACUGUAAAAGGUGGCCAAGGUAAAUGCAGAUGAACCGCUUCUAAUAGUCCAUUGACUUGGACAAUACUUUUAUGAUCUGAUCUCGAAUCAGGUAGGACUACCCGCUGAACUUAAGC